UAAGGAAUAUUGGACAAUGGACGCAAGUCUGAUCCAGCCAUGCCGCGUGAAGGAUGAAUGCCCUCUGGGUUGUAAACUUCUUUUAUAGGGGAAGAAAGAUACUUUUUUUAAGGUAGUUGACGGUACCCUAUGAAUAAGCACCGGCUAACUCCGUGCCAGCAGCCGCGGUAAUACGGAGGGUGCAAGCGUUAUCCGGAUUUACUGGGUUUAAAGGGUGCGUAGGCGGGCAUGUAAGUCAGUGGUGAAAUACCGGAGCUUAACUUCGGAACUGCCAUUGAUACUAUAUGUCUUGAAUAUUGUGGAGGUAAGCGGAAUAUGUCAUGUAGCGGUGAAAUGCAUAGAUAUGACAUAGAACACCGAUUGCGGAGGCAGCUUGCUACGCAAAUAUUGACGCUGAGGCACGAAAGCGUGGGGA
Molecule: ribosomal RNA, 415 nt
Filed under: uncultured bacterium
Lineage: Bacteria
Description: bacterial SSU rRNA
Rfam family: Bacterial small subunit ribosomal RNA
Source: RNAcentral